RNAcentral lists this ribosomal RNA (377 nucleotides) under uncultured bacterium. RNAcentral's name for it is "bacterial SSU rRNA". It matches the Rfam family "Bacterial small subunit ribosomal RNA", at positions 521 to 896 of the family's 1533-position model. The record is from RNAcentral.
UAAGACAGGGGUCUCGAGCGUUAAUCGGAAUCACUGGGCUUAAAGGGUGCGUAGGCGGGUCUGUAAGUGUCGUGUGAAAGCCCCCGGCUCAACCGGGGAACUGCAUGGCAAACUGCAGAUCUUGAGGAAGCUAGAGGCCGGUAGAACGAUUGGUGGAGCGGUGGAAUGCGUAGAUAUCAAUCGGAAUGCCUAAAGUGAAGACAGCCGGCUGGGGCUUUCCUGACGCUGAGGCACGAAAGCGUGGGGAGCAAACAGGAUUAGAUACCCUGGUAGUCCACGCCCUAAACGAUGCGCACUAGACUGGAGCAGCUCUGACGCUGUUCUGGUCGUAGAGAAAUUGCUAAGUGCGCCGCCUGGGGAGUACGGUCGCAAGGCUA